This is a long non-coding RNA of Etheostoma spectabile (orangethroat darter), 70 nucleotides long. RefSeq lists it as uncharacterized. Lineage: Eukaryota; Metazoa; Chordata; Actinopteri; Perciformes; Percidae. The transcript is spliced from 3 exons. The record is from RefSeq and is a predicted model, not a curated record.
UACCAGAGUCUGGCUAGCUGUUUCCCCGUUUCCAGUCCUUAUGCUAAGCUAAGCUAACGAAGCUGCUGGC